AAAAACCCAAAAUGUUUCUCUAUUUUGUCUCAGGAUAAUUAUACUGCCAAUUUUUUUGUUGACUCCAUCUUUGUACCCCUCCAGAAACAACAGUUCUAAAGCCAGAGGAGGUGGAUGUACCCCCACAGAAUGCCUUUAGAAGUGACUUCUCUCCAAAAGAGUAUUGUCUGGGGGUAUGCUGAGAACAUCAGGACUCUACAUAAUGGAAAAAGGUCUCUAGAUUGUAUAUACAAGCAUUCCUUUCUUAGGAUCAGAUAA
RNAcentral lists this long non-coding RNA (258 nucleotides) under Oryctolagus cuniculus (rabbit). RNAcentral's name for it is "lncRNA (ENSOCUG00000035873.1)". The record is from RNAcentral. Lineage: Eukaryota; Metazoa; Chordata; Mammalia; Lagomorpha; Leporidae.